RNAcentral lists this ribosomal RNA (433 nucleotides) under uncultured bacterium. RNAcentral describes it as "partial 16S ribosomal RNA". It matches the Rfam family "Bacterial small subunit ribosomal RNA", at positions 29 to 507 of the family's 1533-position model. The record is from RNAcentral.
AACGAACGCUGGCGGCAUGCCUAACACAUGCAAGUCGAACGAGACCUUCGGGUCUAGUGGCGCACGGGUGCGUAACGCGUGGGAACCUGCCCUUAGGUUCGGAAUAACUCCCCGAAAGGGGUGCUAAUACCGGAUAAUGUCUUCGGACCAAAGAUUUAUCGCCUUUGGAUGGGCCCGCGUUGGAUUAGCUAGUUGGUAGGGUAAAAGCCUACCACGGCGACGAUCCAUAGCUGGUCUGAGAGGAUGGUCAGCCACACUGGGACUGAGACACGGCCCAGACUCCUACGGGAGGCAGCAGUGGGGAAUAUAGGACAAUGGGCGAAAGCCUGAUCCAGCAAUGCCGCGUGAGUGAUGAAGGCCUUAGAGUUGUAAAGCUCUUUUACCCGGGAUGAUAAUGACAGUACCGGGAGAAUAAGCUCCGGCUAACUCCGUG